AGUCCCCCUGACCGGGGCCUGUCCGUAGCGGGUGCGAGGCCCAUAGCCGCCGCGGCCGUCCCGAAUGCGAUCUCCUCGGAGUCGGGUUGCUUGGGAGUGCAGCCCCAAUAGGGUGGUAAACUCCACCUAAGGCUAAAUACCGCCGUGAGACCGAUAGCAAACAAGUACCGUGAGGGAAAGUUGCAAAGAACUUUGAAGAGAGAGUUCAAGAGUACGUGAAACUGCUCAGAGGUAAACGGGUGGGCCCUCGAAAUCCUGUGGCGAGAGGAUUCAGUCUGUUGCGGCGGACGUUCUCGGAGGAAGAAACCGAGCAGGGCUUCCGCGGGACCGCGGGCCGUCCUCCGGAACGACCUCAACCGCCUCGGACGCAUUUGUCUCUCGUCCCUAGGACGCUGCAGCCGGUUCGGAAGUGCAAGCGCGACGGCCUGAGGGUCGGGAGCAGGAAGGUGGCCGGUGGCCCGCCGCGUGCGGGUCGCCGGUUGUUAGCCGUCCCGACAGUGGCACGUCUCCGGACCGUGGUGUCGCGAGCCCCCUCGGGGGCUCCUCGUCUCCUCCCCCUCUCGACAGACGCGGGACAGGGCCGGGCCAGGAUCCUUCGCGCCGACCGUCGCAGUCCCACGGAGUGGGCGGACGGGCGCGGGAGCCGCAUCGCCCGGACGGAUCCGCGGGGGGAACGGAGGCUGGCAGCGAGUAGGUCGGUCACCCACCCGACCCGUCUUGAAACACGGACCAAGGAGUCUAACAUGUGCGCGAGUCAGUGGGUCUUGAACAGGCCCACGGGCGCAAUGAAAGCGAAGGGCUCCCGAGCGGAGUCUGAGCGGGGAUCCCCGGCGGACCAGUCCCCGGGGCGCACCCGCGACCCGUCCCAUCCGGCUCGCCGGCGGGGCGGAGUCUGAGCGCACGCGUUGGGACCCGAAAGAUGGUGAACUAUGCCCGGACAGGACGAAGCCAGGGGAAACUCUGG
Molecule: ribosomal RNA, 964 nt
Filed under: Popcornella furcata
Lineage: Eukaryota; Metazoa; Arthropoda; Arachnida; Araneae; Salticidae
Description: eukaryotic LSU rRNA
Rfam family: Eukaryotic large subunit ribosomal RNA
Source: RNAcentral